This 171-nucleotide small RNA is filed under the name Arabidopsis thaliana (thale cress). RNAcentral's name for it is "ATSL213520". The record is from RNAcentral. Lineage: Eukaryota; Viridiplantae; Streptophyta; Magnoliopsida; Brassicales; Brassicaceae.
AAGAAAAAAUCGUUUCUCAUUUCCGAAAUGUUUCGCUUCCGCGUUUCCGUUUCCGUUUCCAUGCAACAUAGAUUGUUCUCUAUAUCCUAUCAGAAAGUACGUGAAAGUGAAAUGAAAGUGAAAACAAAUCACAAUGUUAGAAGGAUGAGGAUAAACAUAGAGGGAAAGAAA